This 346-nucleotide unclassified non-coding RNA is filed under the name soil metagenome. RNAcentral's name for it is "partial contains 5.8S ribosomal RNA, internal transcribed spacer 2, and large subunit ribosomal RNA". The stretch from base 1 to 120 matches the Rfam family "5.8S ribosomal RNA", at positions 35 to 154 of the family's 154-position model. The record is from RNAcentral.
GAUGAAGAACGUAGCGAAAUGCGAUAACUAGUGUGAAUUGCAGAUUUCAGUGAAUCAUCGAGUCUUUGAACGCACAUUGCGCCCCCUGGUAUUCCGGGGGGCAUGCCUGUCCGAGCGUCAUUGCUGCCCUCAAGCACGGCUUGUGUGUUGGGCCCCGUCCUCCGAUCCCGGGGGACGGGCCCGAAAGGCAGCGGCGGCACCGCGUCCGGUCCUCGAGCGUAUGGGGCUUUGUCACCCGCUCUGUAGGCCCGGCCGGCGCUUGCCGAUCAACCCAAAUUUUUAUCCGGGUUGACCUCGGAUCAGGUAGGGAUACCCGCUGAACUUAAGCAUAUCAAUAAGCGGAGGA